UAUAUGCAACUCUUUCUAGAACUGUUGUAUAAGCAGAUGAAUUUGUUUCAAAUUCGUUAACCAUUUGAAGGUUUUACAGAUUCAUGCUCCGACAAAGUGUUACUGAAGUUCCUACAUAUGAAAAGUAAAACAUUUAGAUAUGUGCCCUUGUGUUUAUUUCAUAGUUUGAAUUUGAACUAUGACGGCUUCUAGGGUGGACCACUAUCACAGGUGUCCACCAUGCACUACUAUUAAUGACCCUUGGAUUAAUCUAUGGAGCGUCUUCUUAUCAUGCACUCUCUACACUAUAUUCCUUCUCCGUUCCUCUUCUUCUCCCCUCACCCUAUGAACCACCUUGGCUAAGAAUGGUUGCUGCGCUGCCGGAGUUACUAUACCAUGAAUCAAAAUCAAAGCAAACCCAGAUUCAAAAUCUAAAAAUUAAAUAGCAGAAUUUCCAUAUUAGUUCAUCAACAAAUUCCAAACAAUAAUUCAAGCAAUAAAAAAACAAAUAACCCAAACACAUUGUGAGUAAUGUACUGUGUAGGGACAUCAAUCCAACACCGAUUGUCCACCUGAUGCUCUCAUAAUUCAUGGUGCUGUGGAUUAGAAUACAUUAUUAGCUUGAAAACAUGGAGCUCAAAACAGAAGUUGGGGGAAAAACCAAACACAUGGUUCCUUGCAGCAAAGAACAAAUCAAACCAUGAAUCCACUUGACAUAUCAAAAGUUCCCAAAAUACAUAUACACAGAUCAAGAAAAUUGAAGAUUCCUAAUUCUUCAGUUAAACGAUACAAACAAACUAAAAAUAAUUAAAGUAAAUAAUAAGAGUUGUAGCAGCAAAGGCGGGGAUGAGGAUCUCUAUGAUCAGAUCUGGAAACGCGAGAGAACAUCAUGAGCACCACUUUGAUCGUUUGUAGUGGCCUUAACCGGAUCUAGACCGAGCACCACCAUUGUUUGUCCGGGCCUUGUGUGGAUGUGGAUCGAGCACCACCACCGUUUGCCAUGGCCUUGAGCGGAUCUAGACUGACUACCAACAUCAUUCACCCUAGGGUCAUUAAUAGUGGUUCACGGACCACCUAUAAAGGUAGUCCACCCUACAAUGCUGAGUUCAGAAAAUAUGUACUUUCAUUAAAUUAGCAUUGUCUGGUAGAGAGGCUGGAAAUAGAGGAGAAAUAUUUAAAUUAGAGUAGAGAGUGUGGGACUCAUAUGGGACCCACAGUAUUUCCCUUCUAUUUCUCUCCCCCCCGCCCCCACUCUAUUGCCCCCCUAGUCCCCUGCCAAACAAAACAUUCCUGUUACUUUACUCAAUUUCCCUGGACCACUUAUAAACUGACCUGUCAAUGCUAAUCUGCUGUUAUAUCGUUGUAGUCAUCAUAAUCUGAAGAUUAUAUUCUGAUAGUUUAAGAUAAUAUACUGCAGGCUAUGGUAGUCAGAGGUUUUAAAGGGGACACUGGCAGUCAUAAAAUUUACUUUUUGUCCGAAUCAUCUUUUGGGAUGCUAGAUGUUAUAUCCUGUUUGUGUUUCAAAAUAUUAGAAAAAAUUUAAAUCUCAUAUUCAAGAUUAAUAAAAAAAAAAAAGAUCAUCCACAUUGUUGUUCACGCACCAAGCUUAAGAAAUGCGGGACGUGAGGAGGUGUGUGGGAAAAAACCUAAGUCUUACAUUAACUAAAAAUAAAAUCAAAUUAGAAUAUGUAAGUGAGGAGUAACUCUCAUCCCUUAAGUUAACUUUUGGGGUUGAGUUAAGUCUAAACUCACAUUCUAAGUAGAUGGUACCAAAAAAGUACUGCGGCGUGAGGGAUGUGUUGAGAAAAAUUCAAAUGUAAUUCUUUUGUGGAUAAUAACUGAAAAUUUUUUGUAAGAAAUUCUAUGCCUAAAUUUCUAGUGGAUUUCAAAUUCGUAGGUAAAUUUUAUGCAGAUUUUGAAACUUGUAGGUAACUUUCUUGUGGAUUUAAAAUUUGAAAGAAAUUUUGUUGAUAAUUUUUCUGAGAAUUUUAAAAUAAAUUAAAAUAUAUUUUUCAUCCUCAUAAAUGUAAAAAAUUCAAAAUUCAUCCCCGUGAAAUCUUCAGCAUGUUUUUUUUUUACUGGAAACAAGGUUUGAACAUUUGAACCUACGUGCAUUGUCUUUUUUCAUCAAUUAUAUAAAAAAAAUGUCAUUUAUAUCAAUUAUAUGCAUAAUUGAAAUAAAAAAAAUGUUGUGUUUACAUCAAUUAUAUACCUAACUUGUGUUUUAAAAUUAAAUUUAACUAGAAAUAUUAAGUGAUAAAUUUUAUAAUACUUUUUAGAUCAACUAAGAGUGUGUUGAUAUAACUUGUUAAUAUGUUAUCUAAAUUAUUUUAAUGAUAAAAAUAUAAAAUAAAACAAACAUAAUAUAAGUACCAAACUAAAAAAAAACUUAGAAGAACAAAAAAGUUGAAAUUAUUGUUGUUGUCAAGAGAAUUUUUUAAAAAUUUAAAUUUUAGUUUAAAUAUAUUUUUCUUUCUUGAAAAGUUAUUAGAUUUUAUAUUUGAUCUUUGAAAUAAAAUAAAAAAAGAUUAUGCAUUUGGUAAUUGAACAAUUUCUUAUUUUAUAUUUCGUUCUUGCACAUUAAUAUUUAGGACACGAAAUCUUCACAUGCAACAACAUCAAAGAAUAGUGUUUGAACAUAUUUGAAGAAGAAAUUAAGUUUAUUAUCACAAUCAGAUCUAAUAAUGAUGAAUAAAUCACAAUGUUCGAGAAUAUCAUGAAGUGCACAGGAAAUACAUGGCAAAAUUUAUAUCACAGGUGUCUAAAGUUUAAACACAACAAAGCAAAAGUGAAGAUAAUAAAAGGGAAAAACAAUGAGAUGGCAACAGAGCUACAUGUUCUAAAUUUCAAGUUAUGAGGAAAGGAAUAUACCGUAUACAUAUACAUAACUCAGUAGCCCUGACCCUUUUUAUUUUUAUCACUUUGAAGAGUGGAGGUGAGCUUGGUGCUAGAGGAAAACGUGAGGGCCUCAUCUCUUAUGUGGGUUUGGUGAAGAAUUAAUGCAUGCACGAGGAGGUUUUUGAUUUUCUGGGCGCGUCUAGCAUGGGAAUAUGGGUCGUGGACGAGGUGGUGCAUGAUCUGCGCACCUACACGCAUCCUCAAAGAAACACAUAUCCUACUGUCAUAAAACCUUUCACAACGUGGGAGACAUAUGUUGAGGUCCCGCAUGCUAGCCUGCGUCUUGAUUUUUUACCGGAGAAAAUCACAUAGUCUUACUUGUAUAGUAAUACUUUUA
RNAcentral lists this long non-coding RNA (3214 nucleotides) under Glycine max (soybean). RNAcentral describes it as "long non-coding RNA (GMAX_LNC002966)". The record is from RNAcentral. Lineage: Eukaryota; Viridiplantae; Streptophyta; Magnoliopsida; Fabales; Fabaceae.